UUAAUUUAAUAGUCUUUCACUCAUAUAAUCGCGGGGAUAUGGCCUGCAAGUUUCUACCGAGUUACCGUAAAUAACUUGACUAUGAGUGAGCAAUGGAUAGAG
This 102-nucleotide non-coding RNA is filed under the name Bacillus sp. (in: firmicutes). RNAcentral's name for it is "Bacillus sp. Guanine sequence". It matches the Rfam family "Purine riboswitch aptamer". Rfam says of the family: Riboswitches are metabolite binding domains within certain messenger RNAs that serve as precision sensors for their corresponding targets. RNAcentral also lists the same sequence under 1 other name. Lineage: Bacteria; Bacillati; Bacillota; Bacilli; Caryophanales; Bacillaceae. The record is from RNAcentral.